Molecule: ribosomal RNA, 497 nt
Filed under: uncultured bacterium
Lineage: Bacteria
Description: partial 16S ribosomal RNA
Rfam family: Bacterial small subunit ribosomal RNA
Source: RNAcentral
GAUGAACGCUGGCGGCGUGCCUAAUACAUGCAAGUCGAGCGAACGGACGAGAAGCUUGCUUCUCUGAUGUUAGCGGCGGACGGGUGAGUAACACGUGGAUAACCUACCUAUAAGACUGGGAUAACUUCGGGAAACCGUAGCUAAUACCGGAUAAUAUUUUGAACCGCAUGGUUCAAAAGUGAAAGACGGUCUUGCUGUCACUUAUAGAUGGAUCCGCGCUGCAUUAGCUAGUUGGUAAGGUAACGGCUUACCAAGGCAACGAUGCAUAGCCGACCUGAGAGGGUGAUCGGCCACACUGGAACUGAGACACGGUCCAGACUCCUACGGGAGGCAGCAGUGGGGAAUCUUCCGCAAUGGGCGAAAGCCUGACGGAGCAACGCCGCGUGUGUGAUGAAGGUCUUCGGAUCGUAAAACUCUGUUAUUAGGGAAGAACAUAUGUGUAAGUAACUGUGCACAUCUUGACGGUACCUAAACAGAAAGCCACGGCUAACUACGUA